AGGACUAACGCUGGCGGCGUGCCUAACACAUGCAAGUCGAACGAGGGGUAGCAAUACCCCUAGUGGCAGACGGGUGAGUAACACGUAGUCAACCUACCUCUUAAUGGGGGAUAACUAGCCGAAAGGUUAGCUAAUACCGCAUACGAUCGUCGAGUGGCAUCACACGACGAUGAAAGGAGCAAUCCGUUGAGAGAGGGGACUGCGUCCCAUUAGUUAGUUGGUGGGGUAAUGGCCUACCAAGACUCCGAUGGGUAGCUGGCUUGAGAGAGCGACCAGCCACACUGGAACUGAGACACGGUCCAGACUCCUACGGGAGGCAGCAGUGAGGAAUUUUCCGCAAUGGGGGAAACCCUGACGGAGCGACGCCGCGUGUGGGAAGAAGGCCUUCGGGUCGUAACCACUGUCGAGGGGGACGAUAUUGACGGUACCCCUGGAGGAAGCCCGGCUAACUACGUGCCAGCAGCCGC
RNAcentral lists this ribosomal RNA (467 nucleotides) under uncultured bacterium. Its description in RNAcentral is "SSU rRNA". It matches the Rfam family "Bacterial small subunit ribosomal RNA", at positions 26 to 518 of the family's 1533-position model. The record is from RNAcentral.